RNAcentral lists this ribosomal RNA (369 nucleotides) under uncultured bacterium. RNAcentral's name for it is "bacterial SSU rRNA". It matches the Rfam family "Bacterial small subunit ribosomal RNA", at positions 527 to 898 of the family's 1533-position model. The record is from RNAcentral.
GUAGGUGGCAAGCGUUGUCCGGAUUUAUUGGGUUUAAAGGGUGCGUAGGCGGCCUUAUAAGUCAGUGGUGAAAUACUCUAGCUUAACUAGAGGGGUGCCAUUGAUACUGCAAGGCUUGAGUGGAGUCGAGGUAGGCGGAAUUGACGGUGUAGCGGUGAAAUGCUUAGAUAUCGUCAAGAACACCGAUAGUGUAGACAGCUUACUAGGCUUCUACUGACGCUGAGGCACGAAAGUGUGGGGAUCAAACAGGAUUAGAUACCCUGGUAGUCCACACUGUAAACGUUGAUAACUCGCUGUUGGCGAUACACAGUCAGCGGCUAAGCGCAAGCGAUAAGUUAUCCACCUGGGGAGUACGCCGGCAACGGUGAA